RNAcentral lists this ribosomal RNA (423 nucleotides) under uncultured bacterium. Its description in RNAcentral is "partial 16S ribosomal RNA". It matches the Rfam family "Bacterial small subunit ribosomal RNA", at positions 354 to 793 of the family's 1533-position model. The record is from RNAcentral.
GUGAGGAAUUUUCCGCAAUGGGCGAAAGCCUGACGGAGCAAUGCCGCGUGAAGGAUGAAGGCCUAUGGGUUGUAAACUUCUUUUCUCAGAAAAGAAUUAUGACGGUAUCUGAGGAAUAAGCAUCGGCUAACUCUGUGCCAGCAGCCGCGGUAAGACAGAGGAUGCAAGCGUUAUCCGGAAUGAUUGGGCGUAAAGCGUCUGUAGGUUGUUUAAAAAGUAUUCUGUCAAAGAUUAGGGCUUAACCCUAGAUAGGCAGAAUAAACUUUUAAGCUAGAGUUUGGUAGAGGCAGAGGGAAUUCCCGGUGGAGCGGUGAAAUGCGUAGAUAUCGGGAGGAACACCAAAGGCGAAGGCACUCUGCUGGGCCAAUACUAACACUGAGAGACGAAAGCGAGGGGAGCAAAUGGGAUUAGAUACCCCUGUAG